AUUGAACGCUGGCGGCAGGCCUAACACAUGCAAGUCGCGCGAGCGGCGGACGGGUGAGUAAUGUCUGGGAAACUGCCUGAUGGAGGGGGAUAACUACUGGAAACGGUAGCUAAUACCGCAUAACAUCAGAUGUGCCCAGAUGGGAUUGGCUAGUAGGUGGGGUAAAGGCUCACCUAGGCGACGAUCCAUAGCUGGUCUGAGAGGAUGACCAGCCAAACUGGAACUGAGACACGGUCCAGACUCCUACGGGAGGCAGCAGUGGGGAAUAUUGCACAAUGGGCGCAAGCCUGAUGCAGCCAUGCCGCGUGUGUGAAGAAGGCCUUCGGGUUGUAAAGAACUUUCAGCGGGGAGGCGUUACCCGCAGAAGAAGCACCGGCUAACUCCGUGCCAGCAGCAGCGGUAAUAC
This 406-nucleotide ribosomal RNA is filed under the name uncultured bacterium. Its description in RNAcentral is "partial 16S ribosomal RNA". It matches the Rfam family "Bacterial small subunit ribosomal RNA", at positions 30 to 526 of the family's 1533-position model. The record is from RNAcentral.